GGCUGGGUAGCUCAGUUGGUACGAGCGUCCGCCUGAAAAGCGGAAGGUCGCCGGUUCGAUCCCGGCCCCAGCCACC
Molecule: transfer RNA, 76 nt
Filed under: Streptomyces sp. MP131-18
Lineage: Bacteria; Bacillati; Actinomycetota; Actinomycetes; Kitasatosporales; Streptomycetaceae
Description: tRNA-Phe
Rfam family: tRNA
About the family: Transfer RNA (tRNA) molecules are approximately 80 nucleotides in length. Their secondary structure includes four short double-helical elements and three loops (D, anti-codon, and T loops).
Source: RNAcentral